RNAcentral lists this transfer RNA (67 nucleotides) under Gyna capucina. Its description in RNAcentral is "tRNA-Pro". Lineage: Eukaryota; Metazoa; Arthropoda; Insecta; Blattodea; Blaberidae. The record is from RNAcentral.
CAGGGAAUAGUUUAUUUAAAAAAUAUUAAUUUUGGGAAUUAAUGAAGAAGUUAAUCUUUUUCUCUGA